RNAcentral lists this ribosomal RNA (482 nucleotides) under uncultured bacterium. RNAcentral describes it as "bacterial SSU rRNA". It matches the Rfam family "Bacterial small subunit ribosomal RNA", at positions 31 to 507 of the family's 1533-position model. The record is from RNAcentral.
GAACGCUGGCGGCAGGCCUAACACAUGCAAGUCGAGCGGUAGAGAGGUGCUUGCAUCUCUUGAGAGCGGCGGACGGGUGAGUAAUGCCUAGGAAUCUGCCUAGUGGUGGGGGGAUAACGUUCGGAAACGGACGCUAAUACCGCAUACGUCCUACGGGAGAAAGCGGGGGAUCUUCGGACCUCGCGCCAUUAGAUGAGCCUAGGUCGGAUUAGCUAGUUGGUGAGGUAAUGGCUCACCAAGGCGACGAUCCGUAACUGGUCUGAGAGGAUGAUCAGUCACACUGGGACUGAGACACGGCCCAGACUCCUACGGGAGGCAGCAGUGGGGAAUUUUGGACAAUGGGCGCAAGCCUGAUCCAGCAAUGCCGCGUGCAGGAUGAAGGCCCUCGGGUUGUAAACUGCUUUUGUACGGAACGAAAAGGUUUCUAUUAAUACUAGGAGCUCAUGACGGUACCGUAAGAAUAAGCACCGGCUAACUACGUG